RNAcentral lists this ribosomal RNA (272 nucleotides) under uncultured Clostridium sp. RNAcentral's name for it is "partial 16S ribosomal RNA". It matches the Rfam family "Bacterial small subunit ribosomal RNA", at positions 233 to 518 of the family's 1533-position model. Lineage: Bacteria; Bacillati; Bacillota; Clostridia; Eubacteriales; Clostridiaceae. The record is from RNAcentral.
GCGUCCCAUUAGCUAGUUGGUGAGGUAACGGCUCACCAAGUCAACGAUCGGUAGCCGGACUGAGAGGUUGAACGGCCACAUUGGGACUGAGACACGGCCCAGACUCCUACGGGAGGCAGCAGUGGGGAAUAUUGGGCAAUGGGGGAAACCCUGACCCAGCAACGCCGCGUGAAGGAAGAAGGUCUUCGGAUUGUAAACUUCUUUGAUCAGGGACGAAACAAAUGACGGUACCUGAAGAACAAGCGCACGGCUAACUACGUGCCAGCAGCCUC